This 254-nucleotide ribosomal RNA is filed under the name uncultured bacterium. RNAcentral's name for it is "partial 16S ribosomal RNA". It matches the Rfam family "Bacterial small subunit ribosomal RNA", at positions 524 to 776 of the family's 1533-position model. The record is from RNAcentral.
UCCGUAGGGGGCGAGCGUUGUCCGGAUUUAUUGGGCGUAAAGAGCUCGUAGGCGGCUUGGCAAGUCGGGUGUGAAACCUCCAGGCUCAACCUGGAGACGCCACUCGAUACUGCCAUGGCUAGAGUCCGGUAGGGGACCACGGAAUUCCUGGUGUAGCGGUGAAAUGCGCAGAUAUCAGGAGGAACACCGGUGGCGAAGGCGGUGGUCUGGGCCGGCACUGACGCUGAGGAGCGAAAGCGUGGGUAGCAAACAGG